UCGGGAAUUUUGGGCAAUGGGCGAAAGCCUGACCCAGCAACGCCGCGUGAAGGAUGAAGUAUUUCGGUAUGUAAACUUCGUAAGAAUAGGAAGAAUAAAUGACGGUACUAUUUGUAAGGUCCGGCUAACUACGUGCCAGCAGCCGCGGUAAUACGUAGGGACCAAGCGUUGUUCGGAUUUACUGGGCGUAAAGGGCGCGUAGGCGGCAAUUCAAGUCAUCUGUGAAAUCUCCGGGCUUAACUCGGAACGGUCAGAUGAUACUGCUUUGCUAGAGUGCAGAAGGGGCAAUCGGAAUUCUUGGUGUAGCGGUGAAAUGCGUAGAUAUCAAGAGGAACACCUGAGGUGAAGACGGGUUGCUGGGCUGACACUGACGCUGAGGCGCGAAAGCCAGGGGAGCAAACGGGAUUAGAUACCCAGGUAGUCCCUGAGCGGGCUGGCAAGGCGCAU
This 447-nucleotide ribosomal RNA is filed under the name uncultured bacterium. RNAcentral describes it as "bacterial SSU rRNA". It matches the Rfam family "Bacterial small subunit ribosomal RNA", at positions 355 to 825 of the family's 1533-position model. The record is from RNAcentral.